This 449-nucleotide ribosomal RNA is filed under the name uncultured bacterium. RNAcentral's name for it is "partial 16S ribosomal RNA". It matches the Rfam family "Bacterial small subunit ribosomal RNA", at positions 29 to 523 of the family's 1533-position model. The record is from RNAcentral.
AACGAACGCUGGCGGCAUGCCUAACACAUGCAAGUCGAACGAGAUCUUCGGGUCUAGUGGCGCACGGGUGCGUAACGCGUGGGAAUCUGCCCUUUGGUUCGGAAUAACAGUUGGAAACGACUGCUAAUACCGGAUGAUGACGAAAGUCCAAAGAUUUAUCGCCAGAGGAUGAGCCCGCGUAGGAUUAGCUAGUUGGUGUGGUAAAGGCGCACCAAGGCGACGAUCCUUAGCUGGUCUGAGAGGAUGAUCAGCCACACUGGGACUGAGACACGGCCCAGACUCCUACGGGAGGCAGCAGUGGGGAAUAUUGGACAAUGGGCGAAAGCCUGAUCCAGCAAUGCCGCGCGAGUGAUGAAGGCCUUAGGGUUGUAAAGCUCUUUUACCCGGGAUGAUAAUGACAGUACCGGGAGAAUAAGCACCGGCUAACUACGUGCCAGCCGCCGCGGUAA